RNAcentral lists this ribosomal RNA (1843 nucleotides) under Alloteuthis sp. KG-2015. RNAcentral's name for it is "bacterial SSU rRNA". It matches the Rfam family "Eukaryotic small subunit ribosomal RNA", at positions 88 to 1379 of the family's 1831-position model. The record is from RNAcentral. Lineage: Eukaryota; Metazoa; Mollusca; Cephalopoda; Myopsida; Loliginidae.
CGCGAAUGGCUCAGGAACCGGACCUAAUCCUCGGGACCGUAAUCCUCCUCUUUGGAGGCGAUGGAUAACUGUGGCAAUUCUAGAGCUAAUACAUGUGACACAAGCCGCGAUCGGUCGGCGCGCAGCCGUCGCUCUCGCCUUUACUGUGCGUGGGCAACCCGCGUCGAUCGUUCCGGGUCGCGGCGCUACAUAUUAGACUGAGACCGAUGCGCGUUCUUCCGUCCUCCCGUUUUGCUCGCGGNCCUCCCCCNGUCGCGACUCGUUUGCGGCAGGGGANNCCGUGUGGCGGGGCGGGGCUACUAUGGGCGGCGCGCUCCGCUUUGGUGACUCUGGAUAACUCACUGGUCGAUCGCACCGGCUUUCAUGCCUGGCGACGGGUCUCUCGAGGGUCCGCCCUAUCAACUGUCGACGGUCGGUUAAGUGCCUACCGUGGUUACUACGGGUAACGGGGAAUCGGGGUUCGAUUCCGGAGAGGGAGCAUGCGAAACGGCUACCACAUCCAAGGAAGGCAGCAGGCGCGCAAAUUACCCACUCCCGGCACGGGGAGGUAGUGACGAAAAAUAACGACGCGGGACUCUGUCGAGGCCCCGCGAUCGGAAUGAGUACACUUCAAAUCCGUNAACGAGGACCAACCGGAGGGCAAGUCUGGUGCCAGCAGCCGCGGUAAUUCCAGCUCCGGUAGCGUAUAUUAAAGUUGUUGCGGUUAAAAAGCUCGUAGUCCGAACUCGGGUUCGUGGUCGCUCGCGCGGCCCCGGGGCGGCGGCGCCAUCGUCCGUCGUUGACUUUGGUCGUCCGUUCGCAUUCCCGGCCCUUUCCGCCGGUGUCGACUGCCAUGUACAUCCGCCUCGCGGUCCUGCCGGCGGGAAUCUUUUGCGCGGUCGUCCGGGUUGGGGGUUGGCGUUUAUUUCGGGGGCGGUUCCGGCGGCGUCGCGGUUGGUCUCCGACCGGCAGCUUCGUCUCCUCGUCUCCUUCUUAUCGCCUCUCUCCUCGCCUCACGUCGCCGUGCAAAGCUCUCGUCGUGCGCGCGUGUUUGCGGUCGGGCGGUUUCUCCUCCAAGGGUGCUCUUAACCGAGUGUCCGCGGCGGCCGGUACGUUCACUUUGAAAAAAUUAGAGUGCUCAGAGCGGGCUGUUCAAGCUUGCAUACGAUAAGCAUGGAAUGAUGGAAGAGGGCCUCGUCUACGUCUGUCGGUCUCCGUCUACGGCGAGGCAAUGAUCGAAGGGAGCGGUCGGGGCCACUCGUAUUGCGACGUUAGAGGUGAAAUUCUUGGAUCGUCGCAAGACGAACUGCAGCGAUGGCGUGUGGCAAGCACGUUUUCCUCGAUCAAGAGCGAAAGUCGGAGGUUCGAAGACGAUCAGAUACCGUCGUAGUUCCGACCGUAAACGAUGCCGACCGGCGAUCCGCCGGCGUUCGCUUCCAUGACCCGGCGGGUAGCCUGCGGGAAACCAGAGUUCGGUUCCGGGGGGAGUAUGGUUGCAAAGCUGAAACUUAAAGGAAUUGACGGAAGGGCACCACCAGGAGUGGAGCCUGCGGCUUAAUUUGACUCAACACGGGAAAACUCACCCGGUCCGGACACCGGUAGGAUUGACAGAUCGAUAGCUCUUUCUCGAUUCGGUGGGUGGUGGUGCAUGGCCGUUCUUAGUUGGUGGAGCGAUCCGUCUGGUUGAUUCCGAUAACGAACGAGACUCCGGCCUGCUAACUAGUGCGCCGAUGUGUGUGCGUUUUUCGCUACGGCGGGCUCGGGCCGUGCGUGUUCGGUCGCGCGUUUGUCUCGUGCGUUUCUUUCUCGCGUUUUCGUUUUUUCGUUCGGUGGGUUUUGGGGGGCGGCAGGCGUGUCGGGAGGG